Molecule: small nucleolar RNA, 304 nt
Organism: Gasterosteus aculeatus aculeatus (three-spined stickleback)
Lineage: Eukaryota; Metazoa; Chordata; Actinopteri; Perciformes; Gasterosteidae
Source: Ensembl
GCCCAGUGAUGAGUCCAAGGCGAAUACGAGCGAACUGAACGAGAGCUGGGUUCUUCUUGCCUCUAUUGGCAGGUAAUCUUGGCAGUGCAGAGGAGCAUUCCUGCUCUGCUGUAAGGGCCUGCCUACAGUGACUUGGCUCAACCCAAAUUAUUCCUCUACAGUUACAGCAGAGUAAUUGCUGGGAUGACGCUGACAGUGUGUGUGUUGUGUGAAUGUGUGUGCGCGUUUGUAAGAGACCAGAAGUUCACCCAGCUCUCUCUGCUCUUCAGUUGGCAAUGAGUUGUUCUUUGGUAAUCUGAGGGCA